GGAAGCCUUAGGUAGCACCUUGCACCGGAGUUUUCUUCGUCUUUGUGUCUUCCUCUCAUCUUCCCCAUGUUUCAGGGUGAAAUAGCGGUUCUUCCCCACGCGGUGCUCUCCGAUAUAGUAAAUUAUUCUAUUCUGUUCCUCCACUAAUCCACUCUCCAAGGUUUUAAUCUUUCAGGUUUUAGCUGCUCAUCGCUGGAUCCUUUCGUCGUCGUCCAUGUGGUUCCUGUCCUUCUGGACCCCUUGUUUUUCACACUGCUUGUUGGAUCUCCUCCGCCUGUAAUCCUCCACCUUCAGCACCACCAGUCAGGUGGAGGAAGAUAAGAGAACCCAGUUGACAAAAAAAAGUAAGAAAACUUAUUUUCAUUUUAAAUAUGGAUGAAAUUGAGCUCAAAUUUCAAAAUUGUUCUUCCUUCUGUCCACCUAUAUUCUAUUUGUUAACCCUGUUGUCUUUUCUCUGGAUUUCAUUUCUACAUCAACUCAUGUCACAUGACAUGAGUUGACCAACAAUUAAAGCAGAAGACCAGCGCCGCCUGUAAUCCUCCACCUUCAACACCACCAGUCAGGUGGAGGAAGAUAAGAGAACCCAGUUGACAUAAAAAAGUAAGAACAUUUCUAUCUACGCAACAUAACUAAUCAUUUCAAAUAUAGCUGCAGAGAGCUGAGCUGAAAGUUAGAAGCUGUCUGCUGUUCAUGCAUAUUUUCCUCCUUAACUUUAUCUUCUCUCUUUAUUUCAUUUCUCUGUGAACUCAUGUGAUGACUGGAGUUGACCAACAAUUAAAGCAGAAGACCUGCUCCACCUGCUGUUCUACUGGUUGGAAGAGAUUGUGGGAAAGCAUCACUGGACCAAUCAGGCGAGAGAAGACAGAGAGGACUGAGGACUAAAACGAAAAUACUCUGCCUGCCAAAAAGGCAGACGAUCCAGUGGCCCCAGGUUUACACACCAUCUGCUGGUUUGAGGCAGACCGACCGCUGGGGAGAUGGACCUCACCUGACACCAUUACUCUGGAUGUAACAGGUAGCUCGACUCUCCUGUCCAUUAAAACAUCAGUGACUCGAGAAGUGGACAGCGAGGUUUCUGGUGCCUGGGUGGAGACGAGAUUCUGAUUAUUCAAGAGCCAAAACAAAACGUCAGAAUAAAUAGUUAGAAGGCAGAUUUGUUUCUAUUUGUUGUUGUUUUCAUCAUUAAUGCUCCACAACACAAAAUUCAUCAGUGCUGUAACUCUUGAGUUGAAUAAAAUGUUCUUCUUUCAAUCUGUUAUUUCUGGAGUCUUUUUAUUUGAACCAUAAUCAUUUUUGGAAACGUUAUAUAUUAAAGGAACGCCCACAUUUUUAAUAGAACUUCAUAACUGCUCAAAGCACAAACUGGAGAACAGGUUUAAAAUAAAUGUUUUUUUAGUGUUAAUUCAUUUGUAGUUACAUAAAUACAAAAUUCACAUCUUAAAAACAAACACAAGCCAGUCACACUGAAGAAGUUUUCUGAUGUUGACCUUCGACCCUUAGCUUCAACUGAUUCACUGAAGGGUUGGGUAGAAAUGUUACCCAGAGAACGCUCUUUUUCCUCAUGGACUCAUGACCAAUGAAACAAACUGGAAGAACUGGAAGCUGAACCAGUUGGUGGAUCAAGUCGGUCAACUCCAAGUAGCCAACACCGAUCGCCUUUGAAGCUU
Molecule: long non-coding RNA, 1667 nt
Organism: Xiphophorus couchianus (Monterrey platyfish)
Lineage: Eukaryota; Metazoa; Chordata; Actinopteri; Cyprinodontiformes; Poeciliidae
Exons: 5
Source: RefSeq, a predicted model, not a curated record